AGCACGUUACGGAUUAGUACGUAGUACAGCACUGGUAAGAGAGCGAUAUUCAUCGGCUGCAAGGUAUCGCACAGUUGCCCUACCGAACCUACCCUAACAUUAAGCCCUACUAAUACUAGGCGCGGUCUCGGCGUUAUAGAGCAUGAAGUGGAGCUAAGUAUAGCUCAAUUUAGGUGGUACCACGGAAAGCAACCCUUUUCGUCCUAGUG
RNAcentral lists this non-coding RNA (209 nucleotides) under Metalysinibacillus saudimassiliensis. Lineage: Bacteria; Bacillati; Bacillota; Bacilli; Caryophanales; Caryophanaceae. The record is from RNAcentral.